This is a long non-coding RNA of Rosa rugosa (rugosa rose), 1499 nucleotides long. RefSeq lists it as uncharacterized. NCBI's taxonomy places the organism in Eukaryota, Viridiplantae, Streptophyta, Magnoliopsida, Rosales, Rosaceae. The transcript is spliced from 5 exons. The record is from RefSeq and is a predicted model, not a curated record.
AACUAAAGUUUUUUAGUAAAAAAACAAGGCGCAGUACAAAUUUUUAUUACGACGCGGUCUUUGGGUAAUCAAACCGCUGGAAAAUUUGGCCAAAAAGUUAAAAUCUCCCUCUCAGUUCUGCUUCCCUCACCCUUACCAGCUCCUCUGCCUCCGCCAAAAUCAAGUCAAUCUCCGUCUCCGAGAUCAUACUUCCUCAGCUCUCCAGCCUCUUGAUUGUCAAAUCCGCCUCCGCCAGUGUGCCAUCGGAGGCGGAGCUCCAGAAGUUCGGCGUCUCCGACGAUCUCAGAUACUUCGUCAAGGGACUCACUUCCGAGUUUUUGAUUCAAAUCUUCAAAUGCGCACCGUUUCGAUCGAGUAGUUUGAUUCUGCAUCUGCAAUCGGGGAGCGUCUCUCUUGCUAUCGACGAACCAGCUCACAAGUAAUUUGAAAGUCCAGAGAGUUUCAUCUGCGCCUGAAGAGUUGAGAUCUCAUCAUCGAUGAUUCAGCUCUCGCAGGAUCGGAAACACCAUACAAAUUCAAAGAGGUGUUAGGAAAGAUUUGACGGAGUGGCGGGAGCGACAUGCAUGCCACUUCGGUUCCCACUACUAAUAAGGAUUCAAUAUUGAGACCGUGGAAUACAAGAACAUCAGCUUCAGUCUGGGAUGUUCGGGGUCAGGACAAGGCAUGAGAAGUUGGUGAUUGUUAAAGAGCCACAUGGAGUUAUGAAAUGAAGUUUAAGGUGGCUUAUUUCUGAAAGUUUGCAGUACUUUCUUGUAUCAAAAAGGCUUGACAGAUUUGAGAUACCCAUUUUCUUCCUUUCAGAUCUGACCUUUGUGGAGGCACUACUUCCAGAACACACAAGGUCUUAUCUUUGUUGUAGACAACAAUGACAGAGACCGUGUUAUUGAGGCAAAGGAUGAAUUGCACAGGAUGUUGAAUGAGUUUGUUCUCAUCUUGCGAGAGCACAUUUACUGACUUGUUUUUUUAUCCUUGCAAUAACUAGAUUCCUAGCUCUGGUAUAUGAGGUUUAAGUUAUGAAGAGGUGAAAGACUUGUAAAUCAUAGAAAUGAAUGUUAGGUUGUUAUAAAAUCAGUUAGCCAGUGGCUUCAUGUCCCUCGUCCGCUUCUGUAUUCAUUCAAUCUUCAUUAGUCUAAUAUGCGUUAUUUGUCUUUACAGGUACAUCCAGAACACUUGUGCAACCUCUGGAGAGGGUCUAUAUGAAGGCCUAGAUUGGUUCUCCAACAACACUGCUAACAAGGCUUGAUCCCUAUUUGGAAGUGAUUUUGAGGAUUGGCAAUUCUGGAUGCAGGAAUGAAUGUUAUCUAGUUUGUUUUAGUGAACAUGUUGAAAGCUAGAAUGCAGUUUUAUCACUUUAUGUAGAUUAGGAUCAAUAGGUUUGUUAUUAUAUAAUAAUUGAAGUGAUUUAUUAACUUUCAGUGAAGUUUCUUAUCUUUCUUCUACUCUUAGUUUUGUUACACAUUUUUUCCUCGCAGAAAUUAAUUGUCAUUUUUUUAUUUUAA